UACGGAAGGUGCAAGCGUUGUUCGGAAUGACUGGGCGUAAAGCGCACGUAGGCGGUUUGUUGCGUCGGCUGUGAAAUCCCGAGGCUCAACCUCGGGUCUGCAGUCGAUACGAGCAAACUAGAGUGUUGCAGGGGAGACUGGAAUUCCUGGUGUAGCGGUGAAAUGCGCAGAUAUCAGGAGGAACACCGGUGGCGAAGGCGGGUCUCUGGGCAACAACUGACGCUGAGGAGCGAAAGCAUGGGGAGCGAACAGG
RNAcentral lists this ribosomal RNA (253 nucleotides) under uncultured bacterium. Its description in RNAcentral is "partial 16S ribosomal RNA". It matches the Rfam family "Bacterial small subunit ribosomal RNA", at positions 524 to 776 of the family's 1533-position model. The record is from RNAcentral.